ACACUGUGACUUCACAGUACUGGUAGCUAAUUUACUGUAUGCUGAUUGCUGAGUCGAUAGGGUGUCAAGUUUUGUGGACCCUACACGCAACAGCCUUCAUAUGCUUGUAUAAUAAUAAGCUGAGAACAAAUUGAGCAGGUUAAUCUGAAGUUGCGAAAUAUAGACAGAAAUAUUUGGCUGCUUUCCUUGUCUAUCCAUGGAAUAGCUUCUUUUUUUGAAAAUUUCAUGGAAUAGCUUCUUGCUUCAGCAAACGUGAGGC
This 259-nucleotide long non-coding RNA is filed under the name Setaria italica (foxtail millet). Its description in RNAcentral is "long non-coding RNA (SITA_LNC004899)". Lineage: Eukaryota; Viridiplantae; Streptophyta; Magnoliopsida; Poales; Poaceae. The record is from RNAcentral.